ACCUACGGGAGGCAGCAGUGGGGAAUAUUGGACAAUGGGCGAAAGCCUGAUCCAGCCAUGCCGCGUGGGUGAAGAAGGCCUUAGGGUUGUAAACCCCUUUCAGCGGGGAAGAUAAUGACGGUACCCGCAGAAGAAGUCCCGGCUAACUCCGUGCCAGCAGCCGCGGUAAUACGGAGGGGACUAGCGUUGUUCGGAAUUACUGGGCGUAAAGCGCACGUAGGCGGAUUUGUAAGUCAGGGGUGAAAUCCCGAGGCUCAACCUCGGAACUGCCUUUGAUACUGCGAAUCUCGAGUCCGGAAGAGGUGAGUGGAAUUCCUAGUGUAGAGGUGAAAUUCGUAGAUAUUAGGAAGAACACCAGUGGCGAAGGCGGCUCACUGGUCCGGUACUGACGCUGAGGUGCGAAAGCGUGGGGAGCAAACAGGAUUAGAUACCCCGGU
Molecule: ribosomal RNA, 437 nt
Filed under: uncultured bacterium
Lineage: Bacteria
Description: bacterial SSU rRNA
Rfam family: Bacterial small subunit ribosomal RNA
Source: RNAcentral